Betta splendens (Siamese fighting fish) is the source of this 4213-nucleotide long non-coding RNA. RefSeq lists it as uncharacterized. The record is from RefSeq and is a predicted model, not a curated record. The transcript is spliced from 2 exons. NCBI's taxonomy places the organism in Eukaryota, Metazoa, Chordata, Actinopteri, Anabantiformes, Osphronemidae.
UGCCCCUAAGAGGGACAAAGUGGCAGCGCAUGAAUCAGACAAAAAGCAGCGUAUGUUUCAGGACAUUCUCAAAUAAAACAACCAACAAACACACAAUUUAAAGUACUGUGCAUCAAACUUCCCUUACAGUAAGUCAGAGUCCAGUUGAUCAAAUUUAAAUGUAUUUACUUUAUUUUUAGUUUUAAUGUAUUGAGUGCUGUAGGUGCCGGCUAACAGGAUAUCAAAAAAUGCCUUCGGGAAAUUAUCCCGAGAAUAAAUCGUAAAUAUGCAAUUUGUGGAAACACUUCAAAAUGAGGCCUUCUAAUUACUGCAACAAAAGGAAACUGAUCCAAAAAUAACAGCUACCGGGCUCCCAGGAGAAAUGAUCUUGAAGGACUUCUCAUAAAGAAUGGAACAAUUGGUUCUGAUAAGGUUCUGCUUACUGUGCACCACCUCUCACUGUUAACACCCACCUUUAGCAUUUGAAACACAAUAUGUUGUUCACAAAUCUCAACCUUGAUGUUUUUUUAAAUUGUUAUUAAAACAAUAGUGGCACUUUCGCCACACAGCAGAUUUUAGAUUAUGCUUCCCCAAAGUUUGCUGGUGUGAGUGUGAGACCACGCAUUUGUCUGCGCCUACAUGUGGCCCUGUACAGAUCUGUCCAGGUGAAGCUGCCUCUUGCCGGGAUGACAGCUGGGAUCGGCUCCAGUAUGACUAUGACCUUAUGAAGGCUGAGCGGUGGAAAAUGAUAUCACACCUCAGUGUUAGCACACUGCCUCAGACACACCUCAAAAGACAUUCAGAUGUGAUCAUCAGCUAUGUGGUUGCCAUGGCUCAAACGCAUGACAGCCUGCUGUACUGCACGGAGGUCAGGCUCCUGUGUUUACUGUGGUUACGGCUUACAGUCCAGAGUCCGAAGCAGAGCGUCAGUGAGCCGAGACUCCUAAUGUGUUCACACAUUUAGAAAUGAAGUGUACCACAAACUAAUAAACAAAAGUGCGCACACUUUGCACAAUUGGUGAUUCAUGCUUCCUUUCACAAUUUCUGAUGCCCAUGUUUAAUAUGUGCCAAUAAUUCACUUCUUCACAAUCCAAUAAUCUGUUGCUGUUAAUCUUGAUGGCACCUACAUUAGUCUGUAGCAAAGUUUAGAAACAAAGCUUCAGUUUGCUUCAUAUGUAAAAAUACAUUAAGUAAUCUCAUCUCUCCAGUCAGCGGCGUCUGUACAUGUCUCAUCCUGGUUGUUGUACUUGCCAGCACUAAUAGUUGCUUUUGUGAUCCUCUUCAACACCGUAGCAACAGAGAAUAAGAGUCACUUGUAUCUGCUGAACAUUCAGUCAAUGGAAUGAGUGAAGCGACUGAAACGGGGACGUCGCCACACAUCGCUUGUUUUGUACGUAAAAGUCAAAAUAGCGGAAUGCCUCACGCCGCUGGUGCCUUAAAAAGCUACGUAUUUACACAUUGGAAGUGGAAACGUGUGCACACUGAGAACACAGUUGCCAACGUUAAGCUCCACUACACUUCAGUAAAUGUGGUUCUAGUGAGAACCCUCGGCGUAGUGAACGUACUGUAGAACCUCGCUGCGGUGCUAGUGGCCUCACCUGCCCAGUUCUCCGGUGGUUUCGUACACGCUGUCCAUCGGCUCCGUGCUCACCGGGGUCUGGAUUUCCCCCAGCAGCCCAGCGGAGAGUCCGCUGCGACUGUCCAGCCGUCUCCGGGCCAUCUUCCUCCCCCUUCGAUAACAGUGCUUUGCCGACUACACAACUGGAUAUCGCGCUAUGUGCUAAGAAACGGAGAGUUGGCGCAUAAAAGCAGCAGACGCCUCGCUAACACCGCCGCUCCCGCGUCUCUCACAUAUCAAUGAGAAGUCAGAGAAGCCGGUAACCGAGCGGCUCCGUCACCGACUCCGGUUAGCUCAACUGCCGCUAAGUUAGCUCGACGCUCACUGGUUCAAAAGUGAGUUCAAACAGAUUUCCCUACGCGACCGCAUCAAAGUUAGAGCAGCGAGUCAGUUCCAGUAGGAAAUGCCGCCGAACACCACAACUGAACAGCGUAGAGGCGACGUAAAUCUGGACAGUUUUCGGUCAUUUUCACAUCCUUCUGUUUGACACUUUGUGGACGCGUCACAAAUACACGCAUGCGCACUAUGGUUCUGUUUCAAAAAGCCGUGGCCUCUAUAGUCAAAUGGGCCGCCGUGCGCGUUUCCGUGUUCAAAGCAGCGUCACUGUAGUUUAAGUGCCGGAUUCACACAAUGAUUACGGUAACAGUGUUGCGAUCGCAGAUAUACUGCCCGAUGUAACGUUUACGAUAGGACAGAAGCUACUGUGUAUGUUUAGAACAUUCACUAAUGGAAUAUAUAAAACGCUAUUAACGUCUUUUCAAAACUUGGCUUUGAAAAAAACCUGUUUCUCAAAUUAGUAGAUUACCAUUACUUCAUAGUACCACUUAGUACUUCAUAGACUACUACUGUACCACAGACUACAGCAACUCAAUUUACCGUAUAUCUUUGGACAUCAACGAGUUUUCCAUCAUUUCUGCCCUGUCGAGAGAUAAUAAAAGACAAAGGCCUAAAGACAAUAACAAUAUGUAUUUCCUCGUAAAACCGUUUUGUAUGAACUAUUAAUAUAGUAUUGUAUAUCUUAUUAUUUACAAGUUAAAAUAGAUAAAGCACUUAUAAACCACAAGCAAGAAUCAUGUGUCAUUCAUCAAAAUUUACCAUUUGUUCUCUUUUAUUACAAUCAUUGGGUGAAAUGAGACACACGUACAGGAGCUUUGCAUAGAGUGGAUUUCUGAAAACUGGAGCUGGGUUUUGUCUGAAAUGUGCUGGAAAGAAGACAGGUGACACUGUCUUCCUUUGGAUGUGAAGUAGGUAAUCAGUCUUAUGUGUCUUUUGCUGCAGAAUAGCUUUGGAAAUGACAAACCGACCUAGUGAUGCAUAUCCUGUAGUGAAGCAGUGUUGUUCAUGCCACAAACAUGAGGUGAUGCUCUGUGAGGAUCUGGACGGCCCCAGACGUGGGAUGUGUCUGUGAAAUACAAAGCAGGCCUAAUGGUUGACUCUGCAAGCCCCAAACCUUUGGUACAUUCGGUGCAAAAUAUAUAUUUAUACACACAACAGGACAGACAUACAUAUAGAGUUAUAUACAAAGAGACAAACAAGACUGCACACAUGAUACACGAACAUGUGCUCUCACGUUUCACAAAAUCAAAACAGCCCUAUCAAGUCAUCACCAGUUCAUGAGCAAUGAAACUGAACCAUCAACCUAUAGGCAGACGCACACGUGUGAAAGGAACAUUUUGAAACAUGCUGCCAAGACACUCACCAUUACACUGUCAGAGAGAAACAAACUAUUGCAUUUACACAGUGUCCAUUCCCAGAGCUAAAACCUCUCUGUGACUAAAGCAGGUGUGUAACACCUUGUUCCAAUGGUCAUGAACACUUAAGGGUAUGACAGUGGCAGGUAAGCACAUGCCUCCAUGAGCGCUACAGCCAAAGUGACAAAACUGAACCAGGUCCCUCGCCCAUUUUCUGAACGGACAGCAAUAAUCUCAUGCAAAAAAAGCUAGUAAGGACAGUGUGUUGCACUAUUUCAGCAUGCAAUAUCGAGCUAUAACACAACACCACCUAGGGGGUUCAGCCCUGGCGCAGCUCACAGAGCUGACCAAGAAGGUCCUGCAUGCAGUAUUUGGCUGGGGGAGGAGAGGGGAUGGGGUACGAAGGUCUGCCUCCAUACCUGGCAUCACGUGUGGGGGCUCUCUAGCGCUAUUCCAGCCCCGUGGUCUACCUCCAAGAGGACUUUGUACAAUAGAUGUCAUAUUGCAUGCACCCCAUAGAACAUGGGUAUGCUUGUUUUUGUGUGUUUUUGUGUGUGGGAGGAAGGAGUGCGUGGGAGACAGAGUCACAGUUAGAAAGGACCUGUCCUCAGGCUUUAGAUUGUGCAGUUAAGAGUUACAGAAUGUUCUAUCACAUGCUUUCAAGACAACACUAUUGUCUGACUAAAGGUUCUAAAGUAGAGAAUCCAUCCAGGAUAAUGUUUAUCCCGGCGAGAUCAUAAUCACAAUUUAUCAGGUUCUUCAGCAAAAAGUUGAACCGUAACAAAGGACCACAAAACAAAUUUCAAGAACUACUUUGUUUGCAAGUCAACGAUUGAUGGUAAAACCAGAGAGCAAAUACUCUAUAAUAUAAAAGCAGAAUCUGAGUUCUCUUAGCUUAGGACUCAAAAAAAAAGAAAACAACAAA